Molecule: non-coding RNA, 139 nt
Organism: Gossypium hirsutum (cotton)
Lineage: Eukaryota; Viridiplantae; Streptophyta; Magnoliopsida; Malvales; Malvaceae
Source: Rfam
UGUUAAAAAUUUCAUCUAUUUGUAUAGUUAAAAACUGGCAUGUAUGAUGGACUAACAAGACAGUGAGCAUGUGAUGUGUACCUCAUGCUAACGUACAAAGACUAGUUUUUAACAGUAGAAAUAGAUGAAAUUUUUAUCA